AUGGCAAGGAGCGAGUUUGAAGUGUCGGCCUACCUUCGGAAUGACCACCUCGAGAUCGAAUGCAUCAUCACUGUCAUGAAAAAAGUGCGGGUGUCUGAAACCAGGGUACCCCUGUCCGGCAUCGCUGCGCAGCUUGCCAAGAUGUUGGAAGCAAAUGAUAUUCCAGCGGACAUCAAAUUCAACGUUGGAGGGGUGGUCUUCGGAGCACACAAGCUUGUCCUUGCUAUACGAUCACCUGUGUUCAAGGCAGAGUUCUAUGGGCCGAUGAAGGAGACAGGAACGCCGUUCAUAACCAUCAAGGACAUGCAACCUGAUGUCUUCAAGGCCCUGCUCCAUUUCAUCUACACCGAUUCAUUGCAGAUCACGGAUGAUCUCGAGGGAAAUGAUCGCGCUGAGAUGGUCCAGCACUUGCUCGUGGCUGCUGAUCGGUAUGAUAUGGAAAAGCGAAAACCGGUAUGUGAGAGAAUCCUUUGCGAUAAUUUUGAUGUGGAGAAUGUUGCAACUAUGCUGGCUUUAGCAGAUCAACAUCGUUGUGACAUUCUAAAUGAUGCUUGUGUUGGAUUUAUCUCCUCUCAAAAGAUUAUGGACUCUGUAGCGGCAACCCAAGGGUACGCGGAUCUCAAAAGAAGUGGUCCGUCUAUCCUUGUAGAUGCACAGUUGAAGAUUAUGCGGAGACUCUACAAAAACUUAGAUCAGCAGGUGACUGCGAGAUGA
RNAcentral lists this ribosomal RNA (714 nucleotides) under Triticum aestivum (bread wheat). RNAcentral's name for it is "partial small subunit ribosomal RNA". The record is from RNAcentral. Lineage: Eukaryota; Viridiplantae; Streptophyta; Magnoliopsida; Poales; Poaceae.